Molecule: ribosomal RNA, 203 nt
Filed under: uncultured bacterium
Lineage: Bacteria
Description: partial 16S ribosomal RNA
Rfam family: Bacterial small subunit ribosomal RNA
Source: RNAcentral
GAUGCUAAUACCGGAUAACAACACUAGACGCAUGUCUAGAGUUUAAAAGAUGGUUCUGCUAUCACUCUUGGAUGGACCUGCGGUGCAUUAGCUAGUUGGUAAGGUAACGGCUUACCAAGGCAAUGAUGCAUAGCCGAGUUGAGAGACUGAUCGGCCACAUUGGGACUGAGACACGGUCCAAACUCCUACGGGAGGCAGCAGCC